Long non-coding RNA from Gossypium raimondii (Peruvian cotton), 1716 nucleotides. RefSeq lists it as uncharacterized. The record is from RefSeq and is a predicted model, not a curated record. NCBI's taxonomy places the organism in Eukaryota, Viridiplantae, Streptophyta, Magnoliopsida, Malvales, Malvaceae. The transcript is spliced from 3 exons.
UAGUACAUGUUUUAUUGGAGACGGGAAUCGGUUUGAUCAAACAUAUUUUAUUUUCUUUUACAUAUUUUUAACUUAAUAAAAUUAUAUCUAUUGAUGGAUAUGAUAUGUUACGGGACUAGAACUUAAUCUGGCAAACUGUUGGAAAAAAUUUGGUUCGAAAAUCGUUUUGUGCACAGCAGAAAAAUAAAAAUUUUGAAAAUCGAACCAGUUUGUAAUAUUAUAGCAAUAAACAUUUUUUCCUGAAAUAAUAUCUGUGCUUUAAGCGAGACGGAUCCUAGACAUUCUCGGCUUUCAACCAAAUGACUUUUUUCGCUAUUUUCGUACCAUGAACUACCUUGAGUGUGAAUUCGACCAAUUUCGAAUCAAACACAGAAUCAUGAAUAUUUUUCUUACUUUUAGUAGGAAAGUAAAUAUCUCUUUUUUAUAGAAACUGGUAGAAUUGUUAUUGCAACUCACGGUAUGGCAACUUUUGCUUCGCUCAUGGCUUUAGCUCAUGCUUAAAUGAGAAAAAUGCCUCAUUCUCACCCAAAUCAAAAAUUUGGAGCAUCGACUCAUUGAAAUCAUCCACAUACUCCAUAACUGUGCAGUGUAGCAAAAGCUGGUGCAACUUAGCCCGAACCUCAUCCUCAGCAUACUCCAGGUAAAUCUGCCCCUUGAGUUCACUCUGAAACUCCUCCUAAGUCCUAAUAACGAUAUCACCUCGUCUCUCAUCUAUGGGCCUACGAUGCCACCAUAAUAAAGCGACAUUAAUAAAAUACAUGGCAACAAAAUUUACCUUGGUAGCAUCAUCCGUGAUGCCUUUGGUAUAAAACUAUUGCUCCAUUCCCCAAAAGAAGUUGUCCACAUCCUUUACGGAUCUCGUCCCAUUGAACUCUUUCGACUUUGGGACAUCUUGUAACAACCCAAAAUAAGGCCUAGUCGGAACAGUAGUUUCAAGACCAAAAAAAAAAAACUCGAAGUAGAAAUAUUUAAUUUAUAAUUUUUUUGGAGUCUAUGAUAUGUUUGGGUGAUGGUGUGCAAAUUUUGUUAAGAAAUUUUAUCGAUUAAGUGCCCAAUUUUAUUAUUGGGAUCCAAUUGUAUUAAUUGCAAAAUAUGAGUUCUAGAACAUAAGUACUUGUUUUAAAUGGGGGUUUAAAUUAGAGGUCUUUAAAUAGACCAUCAUAUUUCGUUAUGGACAAAACUAGUCAUGGAAGGGUAAAAAUUGAAGGUAUAGUAAAAAGGGCAUUUUUGUCAUUUGGGUGUUUUAAGGCAUAAAAGACAAAAUUGAAACCCAAAAAUCUGCUCAUUCUCUUCUCCAUGCUGCCGAAACUUUCAGCAAGCCAUGUCUAGGGUUUCAAGUUUUUUCAAAGUUCAAUUAUCAAAGAAAUCGAGAUUUGGACCAAAUACGGAAAUGUCAAUCAAAAUAAUCGACUCGCGUUGAGUAUCGCCAAGUUAGCUCGGGAAUCGGUGGACGCUGAGAUUUGCCCACACUAUCAAUUAGAACACUUGGUAUAUCUAGAUACAUAAAUUUUGGGUUACAAGAUGUAUAGUAGGUUUGGUCGUUUUGUCAUAUAUGUCAUAUUUCUUAUGGCCUAAAAUGUUGACCCUUAUUUAAUAAAUGUUCUUUUUGAUUAAGGCUAUUUGGAGAUGGCCAAUACGCCUAUGAUAUGGUUAUUCAUGUAUGUGGUAAUUGUAUAAUUGAAUGUUGUGGAGGUGGUUUAUAAAUGAUUUCAUGAA